UCCGAGUUGACCCCGGCAGUCUCCCACGAGUCCCCGGCAUAACCCGCUGGCAACAUGGGAUAAGGGUUGCGCUCGUUGCGGGACUUAACCCAACAUCUCACGACACGAGCUGACGACAGCCAUGCACCACCUGUGCAUCACCUUCGAAAGCGGGUGGCUUUCACCACCGUGCAGAUGCAUGUCAAGCCCUGGUAAGGUUCUUCGCGUUGCAUCGAAUUAAGCCAUAUGCUCCACCGCUUGUGCGGGCCCCCGCCAAUUCCUUUGAGUUUCAACCUUGCGGCCGUAGUCCCCAGGCGGUUCACUUAAUGCGUUAGCUGCGGCACCGAGGCUAAGCCCCAACACCUAGUGAACAUCGUUUAUGGCCAAGACUAC
This 372-nucleotide unclassified non-coding RNA is filed under the name uncultured bacterium. Its description in RNAcentral is "contains 16S-23S intergenic spacer region". The record is from RNAcentral.